RNAcentral lists this ribosomal RNA (386 nucleotides) under uncultured bacterium. RNAcentral's name for it is "bacterial SSU rRNA". It matches the Rfam family "Bacterial small subunit ribosomal RNA", at positions 30 to 416 of the family's 1533-position model. The record is from RNAcentral.
AUUGAACGCUGGCGGCAUGCCUUACACAUGCAAGUCGAACGGCAGCACGGACUUCGGUCUGGUGGCGAGUGGCGAACGGGUGAGUAACAUAUCGGAACAUACCCUAGAGUGGGGGAUAACGUAGCGAAAGUUACGCUAAUACCGCAUACGAUCUAAGGAUGAAAGUGGGGGAUCUUCGGACCUCAUGCUCAUGGAGUGGCCGAUAUCUGAUUAGCUAGUUGGUGAGGUAAAGGCUCACCAAGGCGACGAUCAGUAGCUGGUUUGAGAGAACGACCAGCCACACUGGAACUGAGACACGGUCCAGACUCCUACGGGAGGCAGCAGUGGGGAAUUUUGGACAAUGGGGGCAACCCUGAUCCAGCAAUGCCGCGUGAGUGAAGAAGGCC